RNAcentral lists this long non-coding RNA (1149 nucleotides) under Homo sapiens (human). RNAcentral's name for it is "HSALNT0159075". Lineage: Eukaryota; Metazoa; Chordata; Mammalia; Primates; Hominidae. The record is from RNAcentral.
UAAAGCCUUCUGAUGGCCAAUGGCAUCCACUGUAAAUGACACCCCUCAAGGCAGACUGGAAUGAACACAAGGAAACUUCAACAAAUAUGCCCUGGGCCCACCCCAUCCAGGGCCCCAACAACGGCCUCCAGGGACUUCCUUGCUGCGGAGCUCCUCCCACCAGCAACUGCCCAGCAGAUGACACAGUUGACAGGUGGCGCCUCCCGCUCCCAGCCUGAGUCCUCAAAUCAGAAGCUGAAAAAAACAGAGCCAGAGACGAGGCCACGUGACCUGCCAAAGAAAUGAAGAGCAGGCCGGGGGCGGGGACUCACGCCUGUAAUCCCAGCACUUUGGGAGGCCACGGUGGACGGAUCAUGAGGUUCCUCCAGCUGAAAGAUGCUGAAGUGAGAGGGCAGCCACACAGCAUCAGGAAGAGCAAUGUUGAGGUGGAGAGAGGAGCAGAUGAGCCCUGAGGACUCACCCCAAUGUCCCACACUCUACCCAUGAAAAUGAUGCAACAUACUUUAAAAUUUUGGGCAACAACUCAGAACCACCCACUAACAACCAUACACCCUGACAUAACCUUCUAAGCUGCUGCAGAAGGGACAGAGGGAGACGCUGCCUCUGGUCAUUAUUCUGAGCGCUGUAUUAUGAACAUGAUGACAGAAUGCACUCAACCUGCUUUAGAAGUUUGAUCUUUGUGUGCCAGUAUUUCUGAACACUUAGCCAAGGAUGGAUGGCUCAAUUCUAGAACAGCUCAAGCUUUCCUGAGAACGCCUGCUCAAAGGCAUAUUUGUUAAGGAGUAUUUUUUAUGCAGUUAGGCCAAGGUGCCAUAAAAAUGACCGAAGCAACAAAUCUCCAUGUAUAUUACACACUAGGCAAGCUUCAAGGCCAACCCAGGCCCAAUGGGGGUCUGAAAAACACGAGCAAAAUCAAUCAACUCUGGGCAUUGCUCCUUAGGAUGUCAGAGUGUGCCCACAUGUAGCGACCACUGGGUGGCCACUGUUUGUCCUCUGCCUUGGCACUCGGUCAGUAUUUAACAUAUGUUUAUUGAAUGAAUGUCUGCAUCCUGUAGGAAGAAAUCUGAAUUGUAUUCAUCUUACUCUGUAUAAUAUGACAGACUUUAAGAAAUAAUAAAAUAAAGCAAAGCUUUUAAAAGCUGAUAAAUC